This 1179-nucleotide ribosomal RNA is filed under the name Gongromeriza myriocarpa. Its description in RNAcentral is "eukaryotic LSU rRNA". It matches the Rfam family "Eukaryotic large subunit ribosomal RNA", at positions 1 to 1214 of the family's 3401-position model. The record is from RNAcentral. Lineage: Eukaryota; Fungi; Ascomycota; Sordariomycetes; Chaetosphaeriales; Chaetosphaeriaceae.
UUGACCUCGGAUCAGGUAGGAUACCCGCUGAACUUAAGCAUAUCAAUAAGCGGAGGAAAAGAAACCAACAGGGAUUGCCCUAGUAACGGCGAGUGAAGCGGCAACAGCUCAAAUUUGAAAUCUGGCCCCAGGCCCGAGUUGUAAUUUGCAGAGGAUGCUUCGGGCGCGGUGCCUUCCAAGUCCCCUGGAACGGGGCGCCAUGGAGGGUGAGAGCCCCGUAUGGUCGGACACCAAGCCUAUGUGAAGCUCCUUCGACGAGUCGAGUAGUUUGGGAAUGCUGCUCUAAAUGGGAGGUAGACCCCUUCUAAAGCUAAAUACCGGCUAGAGACCGAUAGCGCACAAGUAGAGUGAUCGAAAGAUGAAAAGAACUUUGAAAAGAGGGUUAAACAGCACGUGAAAUUGUUAAAAGGGAAGCGCUUGUGACCAGACUUGCGCCGGGGCGAUCAUCUGGCGUUCUCGCCGGUGCACUCGCCCCGGCCCAGGCCAGCGUCGGUUCGGGAGGGGGGACAAGGACGUUGGGGACGUGGCUCCCCCGGGAGUGUUACAGCCCAGCGUGUCAUGCCCCCGCCCGGACCGAGGUUCGCGCUCUGCAAGGACGCUGGCGUAAUGGUCAUCAGCGGCCCGUCUUGAAACACGGACCAAGGAGUCGAGGUUCUGCGCGAGUGUUUGGGUGCCAAACCCGCACGCGUAAUGAAAGUGAACGUAGGUGGGAGCCUCGGCGCACCACCGACCGAUCCUGAUGUUUUCGGAUGGAUUUGAGUACGAGCGUUGGGCCUCGGACCCGAAAGAUGGUGAACUAUGCUUGGAUAGGGUGAAGCCAGAGGAAACUCUGGUGGAGGCUCGCAGCGGUUCUGACGUGCAAAUCGAUCGUCAAAUCUGAGCAUGGGGGCGAAAGACUAAUCGAACCAUCUAGUAGCUGGUUACCGCCGAAGUUUCCCUCAGGAUAGCAGUGUUGUUUUCAGUUUUAUGAGGUAAAGCGAAUGAUUAGGGACUCGGGGGCGCUAUUUAGCCUUCAUCCAUUCUCAAACUUUAAAUAUGUAAGAAGCCCUUGUUGCUUAAUUGAACGUGGGCAUUCGAAUGUAUCAACACUAGUGGGCCAUUUUUGGUAAGCAGAACUGGCGAUGUGGGAUGAACCAUACGCGAGGUUAAGGUGCCGGAGUGGACGCUCAUCAGACACCA